Non-coding RNA from Nephila pilipes (giant wood spider), 76 nucleotides. The record is from the annotation of a GenBank genome assembly. NCBI's taxonomy places the organism in Eukaryota, Metazoa, Arthropoda, Arachnida, Araneae, Nephilidae.
ACCUUUUUAGUAUAGUGGUAAGUAUCCUCGCCUGUCACGUGGGAGCUCGGGGUUCGAUUCUCCAUCGGAGAGGGAG